RNAcentral lists this ribosomal RNA (245 nucleotides) under uncultured Methanoregula sp. Its description in RNAcentral is "partial 16S ribosomal RNA". It matches the Rfam family "Archaeal small subunit ribosomal RNA", at positions 474 to 718 of the family's 1478-position model. Lineage: Archaea; Methanobacteriati; Methanobacteriota; Methanomicrobia; Methanomicrobiales; Methanoregulaceae. The record is from RNAcentral.
UACCGGCGGCUCGAGUGGUGGCCACUAUUACUGGGCUUAAAGCGUUCGUAGCUGGUUUGUUAAGUCUCUGGGGAAAUCUUCCGGCUUAACCGGAAGGCGUCUCAGGGAUACUGGCAGACUAGGGACCGGGAGAGGUGAGGGGUACUCCAGGGGUAGGAGUGAAAUCCUGUAAUCCUUGGGGGACCACCUGUGGCGAAGGCGCCUCACCAGAACGGCUCCGACAGUGAGGGACGAAAGCUGGGGGA